RNAcentral lists this ribosomal RNA (253 nucleotides) under uncultured bacterium. RNAcentral describes it as "partial 16S ribosomal RNA". It matches the Rfam family "Bacterial small subunit ribosomal RNA", at positions 524 to 776 of the family's 1533-position model. The record is from RNAcentral.
UACGAAGGGGGCUAGCGUUGCUCGGAAUCACUGGGCGUAAAGCGCACGUAGGCGGCUUCUUAAGUCAGGGGUGAAAUCCUGGAGCUCAACUCCAGAACUGCCUUUGAUACUGGGAGGCUCGAGUCCGGAAGAGGUGAGUGGAACUGCGAGUGUAGAGGUGAAAUUCGUAGAUAUUCGCAAGAACACCAGUGGCGAAGGCGGCUCACUGGUCCGGUACUGACGCUGAGGUGCGAAAGCCAGGGGAGCAAACGGG